RNAcentral lists this ribosomal RNA (468 nucleotides) under uncultured bacterium. Its description in RNAcentral is "partial 16S ribosomal RNA". It matches the Rfam family "Bacterial small subunit ribosomal RNA", at positions 28 to 507 of the family's 1533-position model. The record is from RNAcentral.
GACGAACGCUGGCGGCGUGCUUAACACAUGCAAGUCGAACGGAAAGGCCCUGCUUUUGUGGGGUGCUCGAGUGGCGAACGGGUGAGUAACACGUGAGUAACCUGCCCUUGACUUUGGGAUAACUUCAGGAAACUGGGGCUAAUACCGGAUAGGAGCUCCUGCUGCAUGGUGGGGGUUGGAAAGUUUCGGCGGUUGGGGAUGGACUCGCGGCUUAUCAGCUUGUUGGUGGGGUAGUGGCGUACCAAGGCUUUGACGGGUAGCCGGCCUGAGAGGGUGACCGGCCACAUUGGGCCUGCGAUACGGCCCAGACUCCUACGGGAGGCAGCAGUGGGGAAUAUUGCACAAUGGGCGGAAGCCUGAUGCAGCAACGCCGCGUGCGGGAUGACGGCCUUCGGGUUGUAAACCGCUUUCGCCUGUGACGAAGCGUGAGUGACGGUAAUGGGUAAAGAAGCACCGGCUAACUACGUG